GCUGUCGCUAAGGAUGGACCUGCGAUGCAUUUAGCUAGUUGGUAAGGUAACGGCGUUACCAAGGCGAUGAUGCAUAGCCGAGUUGAGAGACUGAUCGGCCACAUUGGGACUGAGACACGGCCCAAACUCCUACGGGAGGCAGCAGUAGGGAAUCUUCCACAAUGGACGCAAGUCUGAUGGAGCAACGCCGCGUGAGUGAAGAAGGUUUUCGGAUCGUAAAGCUCUGUUGUUGGUGAAGAAGGAUAGAGGUAGUAACUGGCCUUUAUUUGACGGUAAUCAACCAGAAAGUCACGGCUAACUACGUGCCAGCAGCCGCGGUAAAU
RNAcentral lists this ribosomal RNA (323 nucleotides) under uncultured Lactobacillus sp. RNAcentral's name for it is "bacterial SSU rRNA". It matches the Rfam family "Bacterial small subunit ribosomal RNA", at positions 211 to 525 of the family's 1533-position model. Lineage: Bacteria; Bacillati; Bacillota; Bacilli; Lactobacillales; Lactobacillaceae. The record is from RNAcentral.